AACGAACGCUGGCGGCAUGCCUAACACAUGCAAGUCGAACGAAACCGUCGGGUCUAGUGGCGCACGUGUGCGUAACGCGUGGGAAACUGCCCUUGGGUUCGGUAUAACAGUUGGAAACGACUGCGAAUAACGGCUGAGGACGUAAGUCCAAAGAUUGAUGGCCCAAGGAGGAGCUCGCGGAGGAGUAGAUCGUUAGUGAGGUAAUGGCUGACCAAGGCGACGACCCUGAGCUGGUCGGUGAGGAUGUUCUACGGCACUGCGUCUGAGGCGCGGCCGCAGUUCCGACGGGAGGCAGCAGUGCGGAAUAUUGGACAAUCGGCGACAGGUUGAGCCAGCAAGGCCGCGUGUGUGAUGCAGCCCUUAGCGUCGUAAAGCUCAUUUAGCCGGGAUGGUAGUGACGGUACCGGGAGAAUAAGCUCCGGCUAACUCCGUG
RNAcentral lists this ribosomal RNA (433 nucleotides) under uncultured bacterium. RNAcentral describes it as "partial 16S ribosomal RNA". It matches the Rfam family "Bacterial small subunit ribosomal RNA", at positions 29 to 507 of the family's 1533-position model. The record is from RNAcentral.